CUCCCUGAUGUUAGCGGCGGACGGGUGAGUAACACGUGGGUAACCUGCCUGUAAGACUGGGAUAACUCCGGGAAACCGGGGCUAAUACCGGAUGGUUGUCUGAACCGCAUGGUUCAGACAUAAAAGGUGGCUUCGGCUACCACUUACAGAUGGACCCGCGGCGCAUUAGCUAGUUGGUGAGGUAACGGCUCACCAAGGCGACGAUGCGUAGCCGACCUGAGAGGGUGAUCGGCCACACUGGGACUGAGACACGGCCCAGACUCCUACGGGAGGCAGCAGUAGGGAAUCUUCCGCAAUGGACGAAAGUCUGACGGAGCAACGCCGCGUGAGUGAUGAAGGUUUUCGGAUCGUAAAGCUCUGUUGUUAGGGAAGAACAAGUGCCGUUCAAAUAGGGCGGCACCUUGACGGUACCUAACCAGAAAGCCACGGCUAACUACGUGCCAGCAGCCGCGGUAAUACGUAGGUGGCAAG
Molecule: ribosomal RNA, 471 nt
Filed under: Bacillus sp. (in: firmicutes)
Lineage: Bacteria; Bacillati; Bacillota; Bacilli; Caryophanales; Bacillaceae
Description: bacterial SSU rRNA
Rfam family: Bacterial small subunit ribosomal RNA
Source: RNAcentral